This 426-nucleotide ribosomal RNA is filed under the name Triticum aestivum (bread wheat). RNAcentral's name for it is "partial small subunit ribosomal RNA". Lineage: Eukaryota; Viridiplantae; Streptophyta; Magnoliopsida; Poales; Poaceae. The record is from RNAcentral.
AUGGACCUUAGGGUUAGUAAAUAUGCUCAUAAGCUGUUUAGCAUACAACAAAAUGCCUUCAUCAAGGGGAGGCACAUAGUGGAUGGCAUUUUAUCCCUACAUGAGGUUAUACAUUAUACUCAUGUUAAAAAACAAAUGGGAGUGGUUCUUAAGCUUGAUUUUGGGAAAGCUUACGACAAAGUCAAUUGGGACUUUUUGCUGGAAUGCCAUGUUAAACGUGGAUUUAACCAAAAAUGGUGUGGGUGGGUAGCUCAAAUCCUUAAGAAUGGAACGGUUAGUGUUAAGAUCAAUGAUGAGCUGGGGCAUUAUAUACAGAGUGCUAAAGGGGUCAGGCAAGGGGACCCACACUCUCCUUUCCUUUUUAAUCUUGCGUCAGAAUGCCUAACUAAGAUGAUGACUUCGGCCCAGAAAAAUGGCCUUGUCAAA